GAUGAACGCUAGCGGGAGGCCUAACACAUGCAAGCCGAGCGGUAUUGUUUCUUCGGAAAUGAGAGAGCGGCGUACGGGUGCGGAACACGUGUGCAACCUGCCUUUAUCUGGGGGAUAGCCUUUCGAAAGGAAGAUUAAUACUCCAUAAUAUAUUGAACGGCAUCGUUUAAUAUUGAAAGCUCCGGCGGAUAGAGAUGGGCACGCGCAAGAUUAGCUAGUUGGUGAGGUAACGGCUCACCAAGGCGAUGAUCUUUAGGGGGCCUGAGAGGGUGAUCCCCCACACUGGUACUGAGACACGGACCAGACUCCUACGGGAGGCAGCAGUGAGGAAUAUUGGUCAAUGGGUGCAAGCCUGAACCAGCCAUCCCGCGUGAAGGACGACUGCCCUAUGGGUUGUAAACUUCUUUUGUAUAGGGAUAAACCUACCCUCGUGAGGGUAGCUGAAGGUACUAUACGAAUAAGCACCGGCUAACUCCGCGCCAGCAGCCGCGGUAAUACGGAGGGUGCAAGCGUUAUCCGGAUUUAUUGGGUUUAAAGGGUCCGUAGGCGGACUUAUAAGUCAGUGGUGAAAGCCUGUCGCUUAACGAUAGAACUGCCAUUGAUACUGUAAGUCUUGAGUAUAUUUGAGGUAGCUGGAAUAAGUAGUGUAGCGGUGAAAUGCAUAGAUAUUACCUAGAACACCAAUUGCGAAGGCAGGUUACCAAGAUAUAACUGACGCUGAGGGACGAAAGCGUGGGGAGCGAACAGGAUUAGAUACCCUGGUAGUCCACGCCGUAAACGAUGCUAACUCGUUUUUGGGCUUUAGGGUUCAGGGACCAAGCGAAAGUGAUAAGUUAGCCACCUGGGGAGUACGCUCGCAAGAGUGAAACUCGAAGGAAUUGACGGGGGCCCGCACAAGCGGUGGAUUAUGUGGUUUAAUUCGAUGAUACGCGAGGAACCUUACCAAGACUUAAAUGGGAAUUGACAGCUUUAGAAAUAGAGCUUUCUUCGGACAAUUUUCAAGGUGCUGCAUGGUUGUCGUCAGCUCGUGCCGUGAGGUGUUAGGUUAAGUCCUGCAACGAGCGCAACCCCUGUCACUAGUUGCCAUCAUUCAGUUGGGGACUCUAGUGAGACUGCCUACGCAAGUAGAGAGGAAGGUGGGGAUGACGUCAAAUCAUCACGGCCCUUACGUCUUGGGCCACACACGUAAUACAAUGGCCGGUACAGAGGGCAGCUACACAGCGAUGUGAUGCAAAUCUCGAAAGCCGGUCUCAGUUCGGAUUGGAGUCUGCAACUCGACUCUAUGAAGCUGGAAUCGCUAGUAAUCGCGCAUCAGCCAUGGCGCGGUGAAAACGUUCCCGGGCCU
RNAcentral lists this ribosomal RNA (1345 nucleotides) under uncultured bacterium. RNAcentral describes it as "bacterial SSU rRNA". It matches the Rfam family "Bacterial small subunit ribosomal RNA", at positions 28 to 1381 of the family's 1533-position model. The record is from RNAcentral.